This is an RNA transcript of Panicum virgatum (switchgrass), 3607 nucleotides long. It is a transcript of the gene named ARM REPEAT PROTEIN INTERACTING WITH ABF2-like, with no coding region annotated. Lineage: Eukaryota; Viridiplantae; Streptophyta; Magnoliopsida; Poales; Poaceae. The transcript is spliced from 2 exons. The record is from RefSeq and is a predicted model, not a curated record.
CAGACUUAGCUCUCUUGUGUGAUCUCCGUGUUUUGCUCUUCGUUCUCGAUCGCGCCCUGUCCUUUGCUCCAUUUGUGUGCUUGGCUCCAUUUGUGUUGUUUGCUUUCUCCACUAUGCAACUGCAAGGGUUCCUAGAAAUCGCGAUGGAUCGUCCUUUGGGUUGGCCGACGCCGAGCUAGUCGGGGGUUCGAGGAUUUGCCUCGCUUCUCAAAAAUUACAAGAGCAAAAGAUACUUUCUCUCGUGGCACUUCGCUAGGAAUAGGGAAAAAGGCCAGGGGAAAACGCAGGCGAAGUCCUCGUCUCCGCCGACGCCGGCGUCCUCACGGCAUUACCCGUCGAAUGACCAAACUGCCCCCGCACCCGCAGGGGAGGAGCCACAGCCCAAUGCCCGGCGGGCGCGUGGAACGGAACCGGGCCCGCCACCUGCGCGCGUCCGACUAGAGCGGGUUCUCGGGCCCGGGAGCGCCCCGAGACGCUCGCUGUGUACUCUGGGGUUUGGGCUCGGUCACUUCCUUGGAUUCCCCGGGCCGCCGGGGCGGUCCAACCGCGAGCCGGACCGGCUGCGUGGGCCCAGUCUCGUGCGCCGCAUCCACGGCUGCACCCCCACCCCCAUUUUUUCCAGUUCGCCACGACCACGAGCCCCCCCACACACACAGCCUUCAAUUCGUGCGAGAAAAGUAGUUGGUUGCCCACGGAAAAGGCGACGUGUGACACAGGUCGCAGCUCGCACGCGCGGUUCGGUGGUUGUGCCGCCGCAAUGACAAGUGGGCCCGCGCGUCUUUCCGUAGUGUAGCUCAUUUAGAUUUAGCACGAGUAGCUUAGCUUUUCUUUAUCAUGAGGUUAGGCCCCAUGGCGACCGUCAUUUCUAACCUCCAGCCAAAGCAUUUCUUUUGAUCUUACUUUGCAUGCGUGCGUGGUAGGUCACGGCUCAUGGCGAAGCUUUAGGGGAAGCAUCCGCGUGAGAUUUUGCGUUCAUCUUUUGGGAGGACUCGGUUCGUUUACGAUACGUUCGCCGCGCAAUUAUUUGGCCAUCAUUCUUUUGUGUGACGAAAGCGCGAGAUCUUUGGACUUGAAUAUGAGAAAGUAAUGUGAAAAACAUCAGCACCCAAAUCUUAACACCUUUUGCCAAGCGGGUCCAGUUUUAAGCAUUCGUAUUUCGCUUAACCACGCGUUCUUCACGGGUGGAACCCACCGCCACCUCUGAUAAGCAGGUUUAGUAGUAGCUUGAUCUUUGGAAAAAGAGUGCCAGUACCUCAACCGAUUUUUUUUAUAAAAAAAGUUUUCUCUGGCCGAGAAGGACUGCUUUGCAUUGGUCACUCUGUUUUGAAUUUGGAUGGAAAUGCCCGCAUGCAUCUUUACUGAUGGAAUGCCACUUUCUGCAUUUUCUUUGUGCACAUUCACUCUGUCACCUACCCAGUCACCAUUCCUCGAGUCAAUUUUUGAAAUGUGCAGACUCGCCGUUCGGAAAGCUUGGGAAAUUUCGAUAGCACCUUCGUACCAGCUCAUAAUUUUGUGGCUGCGUGGUCACCGCAUUUACGCCUCUCAAUUCGACGUACCAAUCGUCAAGCCGAAGCAAGAAAAGAUCAGUACUAUCAGGGGUCACGAGCUGAGGUGUUGUAGCUGCCAAGAAAUGAGCCCCCAGAGCUGCCCGGCCGCGGCCGGCGACGCGACGGCGGAGGAGCUGCUCGCGCGGGCGCGGGUGCUGGUGCCACCGGCCCUUGCCGCGGCGCGCGCGGCAACUGGCUUCGGCGGGCGGUGGAAGGCCAUCGCGGCGAGGCUGGAGCGUGUGCCGCCGUGCCUGUCGGACCUGUCCAGCCACCCCUGCUUCUCCAAGAACUCGCUCUGCCGGGAGCUGCUGCAGUCGGUGGCCGCCACGCUUGCAGAGGCUGCCGAGCUUGGCGCGCGCUGCCGCGAGCCUCCCAAGGCCGGGAAGCUGCAGAUGCAGAGCGACCUCGACGCACUUGCGGGGAAGCUGGACCUCAACCUCCGGGACUGCGCCCUUCUUGUCAAGACCGGUGUGCUGUCCGACGCGACGGUUCCGGCGACCCAGGCUGAGGCCAUGGCGGCAGCGGGCGGCGCGCAGACGGAUGUGCGGGAGCUGCUUGCCAGGCUGCAGAUUGGGCACGCGGAGGCGAAGCACCGGGCGUUGGACGGGCUGCUUGACGCUCUGCGCGAGAACGAGGAGAGCGUGCUGUCAGCGCUCGGCCGUGGCAACAUCGCCGCGCUGGUGCAGCUGCUCACGGCGACGGCGCCCAAGGUCAGGGAGAAGGCGGCGACUGUCCUCUGCUUGCUCGCCGAGUCCGGCAGCUGCGAGGGCAAGCUUAUGUCAGAAGGUGCGCUGCCGCCACUCAUCCGGCUGGCCGAGUCCGGCAGCCUUGUCGGCCGGGAGAAGGCCGUCAUCACGCUGCAGCGGCUGUCCAUGUCGCCCGACAUUGCCCCUGCGAUCGUCGGCCACAGCGGCGUCCGCCCGCUCAUCGACGUCUGCCAGACCGGGGACUCCAUCUCGCAGUCCGCCGCGGCCGGAGCACUCAAGAACAUCUCCGCGGUGCCGGAGGUCCGGCAAACGCUGGCCGAGGAAGGCGUGGUGCGCGUCAUGAUCAACCUGCUCGACUCCGGCGUCGCGCCUGGGUCCAAGGAGUACGCCGCGGAGUGCCUGCAGAACCUGACGUCAAGCAACGACAGCCUGCGGCGCGCCGUCGUGUCCGAGGGCGGCCUGCGCAGCCUGCUCGCCUACAUCGACGGGCCGCUGCCGCAGGAAUCCCCCGUGGCGGCGCUCCGGAACCUCGUCACCGCCGUGUCGCCGGACAGCCUGGUGUCGCUGUGCGUGCUCCCGCGCCUGGUCCACGCGCUCCGCGAGGGCUCCGUGGGCGCGCAGCAGGCGGCCGCGGCGGCCAUCUGCAAGGUCUCCAGCUCGACGGAGAUGAAGCGGGUGGUGGGCGAGCACGGGUGCAUCCCGCUGCUGGUGCGGCUGCUGGAGGCCAAGUCGAACGGCGCGCGCGAGGCCGCGGCGCAGGCGGUGGCGAGCCUGAUGGGGUACCCCGCGAACGCGCGGGACAUCAAGAAGGACGAGAAGAGCGUGCCGAACACCGCAGCUGCUGGACCCGAGCCCCCAGAACACGGCGAAGAAGUACGCCAUCUCGUGCCUGCUGGCGCUGGCGGCGAGCAAGCGGUGCAGGAAGCUGAUGAUCUCGCACGGCGCCAUCGGGUACCUGAAGAAGCUCUCGGAGAAGGACGUCGCCGGCGCCAAGAAGCUGCUGGAGAAGCUGGACCGCGGCAGGCUGCGCACCCUCUUCAGCAGGAAGUAGGCACGAUCCGAAGCAGCCGCAGCUAGUAGUGAGUGAAGCGCUCCUUCUUUUCGCCGUAAACCUGUAUAAAAAUCCCGUCCUGUUUCAUAGCCUCGAUGAAGUGAAAGUGCGGCAGAGCGGUGAAGAGAGAGGGAGAGACGGAGAGUAGUCGUGUUCAUGUGAAGUGAAACAUAUCGCGUUGUAAUUUCGCUGGCUAAUACGUGUGUCAGGCAGUUCGUUCGUUAGCUCCUGCUCCUAAGUCCUAACCAGGGUUGCAGUCCCUUCCUAAGUCUAAUAAAAAAUUCUUCAGGCAAAGAUCAUUU